RNAcentral lists this long non-coding RNA (4576 nucleotides) under Heterocephalus glaber (naked mole-rat). RNAcentral's name for it is "lncRNA (ENSHGLG00100039571.1)". Lineage: Eukaryota; Metazoa; Chordata; Mammalia; Rodentia; Bathyergidae. The record is from RNAcentral.
UUAAUCAACAGGUAGAUACCUGUCCUGUUCCAGAUCACUCUAAGACUUUCUAAAUUUAUUAUGUUCUAGUCUCAAAGACAUCUGAUGCUCUCUCUUGUGUGGGGUCUGCACAGAUAACUGAGUCAGGAUGCCAGCCUCCAGUUGUCAGCCUUUUAGUUUUCCAUUUACUUGAGCUGGCUAAGUUCAGUGAUUACCACUUUCAUUUUGACAAUUCUCAUUUGUUCUUCAUUUUUUGUCAUUUUUUAUAUCUUGUUUCCUCAUCAGACCCUCAAUAGGAAGACAUACUGUGUAUUCUGUAGCUAGUAUUUCUAAUUCUUUGGUGUUUUGUGAAUCUGAUUCCAUAGUUUUGUUUUGUUGUUGUUGCUAUUGUAUUUUUUUCCUUUAACUUUUCUUGGAAUAGUUUGAUUUUUGAGCCCACAUUCCUUGGAAUUUCAUCUCUAGAAGCUUUUUUAAGACCUGGGUUAAAAGUUCAUUCUUCCAGAUGGAAUUUCCUUUUGUCUGACUACUGAGGUUAUCAAAGUUGUCAUAUGAAAUUUUCAACAUGACCAUAGAGAGGGAGAAUGAUCAUUAUGUAGGUAUUGUGAAAUUCAUUCCUAGAUCAAGUUGUCUUAGUUACUUUCUCAUUGCUGGGAUAAAAUACCUGACACUCUCAAGUUAAAGAAGUAGUUUAUUUUAGCUUACAGUUUGUAGAGGUUUCAGUCCAUAAUUGGCUGGCAAAGCAGCAUGGCAGAGGAACAUGGCAGAGGAGUAAGAGCAAGGCAGGCAGGAAACAGAGUGCCAGCAAGGAAGGAGGAAGGAUCUAUACACCCAGGCAGUCCAUGCUCUCAGUAACUUGUCUCUUCCCAUCAGACUUUACCCCCCAACGUUACAAUAAAGCCAUAGACUCAUCAGUCGAUCUAUUCAGUAUCACACACCCAUGAUCCAGUAUCACACACCCAUGAUCCAGUCACCUCCCAAAAGCCCCACUAUGAGCCCAUGAGGCUUUGGGGGGACAUCCAGCUCUAACCCAUAACACAGGCAGAAUGCACGUCAUCGAUAGGAAUAUACAGGAGGCAUGCUUGUUUGUCCCACUCAGAGACAAGGCUGAGGCAGGCAAAGACCCUGAAUCUCCAACCUGGCUCUGUGGAGCAAAGUUUCUUUCAAGUCCACCUGGUAAGUCUGUCGGCUCUGCAAGUUCUUGGCUGUGCACCAGGGUUUUGGAUCCCACGCAUGCGUGUGCACACACACUCUUGUUCCCAUCAUGAGCCUUAGGCUCACCUCCUGCCCCUCAGAAGCAUAAUUCCUUCACUUUGUUCUAGGACAUCUAUUCCCUACAUUGCCUGAAGCAGAAACCUCUAUUCUCUUAAAUUCAACUGCAUAGUACACUUUCAUGAUGUCACAGCAGAAAGAACACAUGAAAAAUUGUAUUCUGACUUCUAUUCAAUAUACAAUUAGAAGUAUGUAUAUGAAUUUAGAAUAGAAAAUAAGUAUGAAAUGGUGGAGAAAAUAUUACAUAAAUGAAGUUGACAGUAGAACCAAGACAAAAUGAGAGCCUUAUCGAAUCUAGUGUUUGUGAUUAGAAAAAAAAAUCAUGAAGAAUUAAGUAAAAAGACAUGGAUUCUACCUGUGACAUAACUGGUUUGUUAUCAUCAAGUCACUUUGCUUCUCAGUGCUUCAUUGUGCUCAUUUGCAAAAUAAAAAUAAUAAGGCCUUUCUGACAUCUGUUAUAAUUAAAUAAAAAUAGUUACACAUGUGAACUUGAAAAUACAAAGCAACAUACAAUUGGAAAGUUUAAAGAGAUAUUUAAAUUAUUAUAUACGUUUGAAAUUAUUCUUAUGUACUUUAAAGAGAAUAAUUUCAGAGUCAGUAGUUAAUUCACUAUUAAUUUAUUCAACCAAACAUUAAUCAAGCAUUUUCUCUAUUCUAGAUAUGAUACUAUGCACUGCGUUAUUCGUCCCUUCAAGAAGACACAAUUUAUUAGGGAAAAAACACACAUACAACUAAUUUAUUGUGAGUGUAGUUGUAAGUAAUAAAUUUAUCUCUUUAAAUUCUGAUUUAGCACUAUUUCUAAAUCAUCCAUCAGACAUUUCAAAAUAGUGUUCUAUAAUGAUAAAUUACCAAAUGUAAUCACAUAUAUACACUUAUAUGAUAAUAUAACAAAAAUAACCAAAACCAAUCAUUGAAGCUCUAGAAUUCUAAAAAACUGCUCCAUAUGGAAACCUCUUUUAUUAGAGUGUUUGCAAUACAUAAUAAGUACAUUCAUCAUGAGGAAUUAGUAAAUAUAUAUGGCAUCUUUAUGCUUUUUACUUUCCAUUUUCCUCCAAUCCAUCCCAUCUCCACAGAGCCACUUCUCCGCACAUCCCAUCUGUACAAACUGUCUUUCUGUUUCCUAUCAUGUUUUGCUCUUUAUAUUAUUUAUUCUUUGGAUUUCUCAUAUAAGAGAAACCGUGUGAUAUUGAACCUUUUGUGUCUUGCUUAUUUCAUUUAGUAUUUUGGUCUCAAAGUGCAUCUAUUUUUCUACAAAUGACUCAAAUUUGUCCUUCUUUGUGGCUAAGUAGUACUUCAUUUUAUAAAUUGUUUCUUUUUUUUUUGGUACCUGGGAUUGAACUCGGGUCCUUGCUUUUGCUGUAAAUUGUUUCUUUAGCCAUUUAUUUGAUGAUGGACAUAAAAGUUAUUUCCAAGAUUUAACUAUUAUGAGUUGUGCUGCUGUAAACAUGAGAAUCAUAUAUCAUUGUAAUGUAAUGCCUUUAACUCUUUCAAGCACAUACACAGAAGAGGUAUACCUGGGUCAAAAGAAAUCUCUAUUUUUGAGUUUUCUUAGGAAUCUCCAUACUAAUUUCAAUAGUGCUUAUCCUGAUCUAUUUUCUUACCAGCAAUGUGGAAGAGUUCUUUUUCCCUACAACUUAUUUAAUAUUUGUUGUUUUUUGAGUUUUUGAUGGUAAUCUUUCUUUUUGGAGUAAGAUAGGAUCUCAGUGUUGUUUUGAUUUGCAUUUCUCUAAUGGCCAAAUGUGCCAAACACUUUUUCAUUCAUCUUUUGGCAAUUUGUUCUUCUUUUUCUUAAACUUCCACUCAUUUCAAUUGCUCAUUAUUUGAUUGGGUCUUUUAUUUUGGGGGAUCUAACUUUUUUAGAUCAUUAUAUAGUCUCGAUAUUAGUCUACUGCCUGAGUAGUUGGCAAAAAAAAAAAAUUCCCAUUCUGUAGGUUGUCUCUUUUCUCUAUUGAUUGUUUCCUUUGCUGUGAAAAGCUUUUUAAUGAGAUAAAAUCCAAUUUGUUGAUUCUUGGUGUUAUUUCUUGUGCCAUUAAGGUUCUGUUCAUAAAGUCCUUGCCUAUGCCUAUCUCUUCAAAAUUUUACCUAUUUUAUCUUCCAGCAGACUAAGUGUUUCUGUUUUAUAUCUAGGUCUUGAUCUAUUUUGAUUUGAUUUUAGUACAGGGUACAAGUAGGGGUUUAGAUUCAUUGUUCUACAUGUAGAUAACUAGUUUUCCCAGCUCUGUUUGUUAAAGAAGCUCCACCAUUUUCUCCACCAUAUGUCUCAUCUUUUUAUUCCUACAGCUUUGCCUAAUUUUUGAAUUAAAGGAAAAAAUAACCAAGGUAUUAUUUUAUAUCAAUGAGUAAUAGUAACAAUGCUUCUGAUCAGUUAGUGGAAGCUAAAUAGACACGCUGAUGGAAUUUUUUAAAAGCCAUUUAUCAAUAAAUAAGACAAGUUGAUAAGCAACCUAUAUGGGAACUCUUAUCUAUCUUAUUUUUGCUUUUCUAGAAAAUUUCAUUAUAUCUCCUCCGCUGUAUCAAGUUUUGAAUCAUAUAGGGAAGAAAAGGAGUUUCCAUGCUCAAAAUUUACAUGGUUACUUGUGCAUAUUUUUUCAGAGAGAAUAAUUUGAGUAACAUUUCUGUUCAGCAUGUUUUUUGUUUUGUUUUUGUUUGAUUUGUUUUUUGGUACCAGGGAUCAAACUCAGGACCUUGUGCUUGCAAGGCAGGUGCAGUGCCACUGAGCUAAAUCCUGGCUAAAAUUGAUAUUUUAAAACCCUUUGAAAAUCAAGGCACAAUGUUUAGCCAAAUCUAGACUUUAGUAUAAAAGAAUGGCAAUAAUUAUAUAAAGAAGAAUCUUUGUAAUGUGCCCUUUUUUGGAGUAAUGUGCCUUAUUUUAACCUAUUAAAUUUGCUAAGUUGCAAAAUAUUAUAUUUACUUGCACCAUGUUAUUAGAUGUUCAUAAUCACAUACUUAGUUAGGAAAAAAAGAUUAUAUGCCACAAUUAUAUUCCCUGUAGCAUUAUUUUAAAUUAUAAUAAGCAAUCUCAUAAAAUUCUAUAGUAUUCAUCUAAAACAAUUCUUAAUUAGUCUACUUCAUAUCAGUAAUCAUUAAGGGAUCACUGAACUUUUUAGUUUAAAUGUUUAUUUUGUUAAUACUGUUUUCUAGAGUAAGUUAAAUUUGGUUCAUGAAAAAUACAAAUGCACAAUUUUAAAUAAGUGAUAAUUAGCAAUUUUAAAUCGGGGAUAAUUUGUCAUUGAUUAUUUUUUAGACAGAAAAGUGUUGUAAAUUAUAAAAAAACUAUUGUCUGAUAUAUUUGUCUACUGUUAUCUUUUGAUUUUUAAAAAAAUGACAA